Long non-coding RNA from Cornus florida, 711 nucleotides. RefSeq lists it as uncharacterized. The transcript is spliced from 2 exons. NCBI's taxonomy places the organism in Eukaryota, Viridiplantae, Streptophyta, Magnoliopsida, Cornales, Cornaceae. The record is from RefSeq and is a predicted model, not a curated record.
UGCUCCUGGUAAGUUUAUAAUUAUUUUUGAUUUUUUUUUGGGACAAUUCGGUUAUUUCAAUUAUUACGUGAUGAUUUUAUAGAAACUUCUUUAGGUGAGGAAUUUUUUCGUAUAUUAGAUAUACAAAUUGAUUUAAUUAGAUUAAAUUACAUAAAAGUUUAUUAUUUGACUUAAAAAAGAGACGGCGUCGUUUGGAUUGAAUAACCCUUUCUUCCCGUUCUCCAAGUUGGUAUCUGUGUGUUUCUCACACACGCACACUAACAAAUAACUAUUACCUUUCACUCCUUUAAUGUCAACGGCGAAACCCUAACCCUAAAAGUCCGCUUCGCCGGUUUACGCGUGUUCUUAAACGGUGGCUUUCGACUUCGUAAUUUGGGGAUAUUUUUUGAAGCAAUUUCAAGCACAACCAACUUCCAUCGAGUGACUUGAGUCUUCUUCAUUACUAGGUUAUAGCAAAGGCGUAGCUGAUGACAGACUCUCACAAAUAUAGUUAGGCUGAUGAGAGCAUUUUUCGAUAUCCUUGUGACCAAUGUAUAGCUUAUGUGAUCUUAAUUGUAAAGGCAUUGUAAUUGUGACCUUAAGGGUUUUAGACUUGUAAUAUUAUUCUUUUGGGACUAUAUUAUGUUUAUUUUGGACAAUGAUGUAAUGAUCUAUUUUAACCAUGGAUGGCUAAAUGAAUAUGAAUAUAAAUGGACUAUUUUGAUUAUGUAA